This is a long non-coding RNA of Helianthus annuus (common sunflower), 525 nucleotides long. RefSeq lists it as uncharacterized. The transcript is spliced from 2 exons. The record is from RefSeq and is a predicted model, not a curated record. NCBI's taxonomy places the organism in Eukaryota, Viridiplantae, Streptophyta, Magnoliopsida, Asterales, Asteraceae.
UACAAAACUUCAUCAAUUAUUGGACGUUACACCAAAAAUCCAUCUUCUUUAACCUAUAUUAAUUUUAUUUUUUUUCUUUAUAAAAACCACCCAUCAUUGGCAUCACAAACCUUUUGAUUAACAACAGAAAGUGAUGGCAGUGGUUGAGUUAUUCGUUCUAGGUUGCACAGGAGGAUUCGUCAUGUUCCUUCAUGGCGCCAAUUUCAUGUUUCACGCUUUCGGUCAUCAAAUCGCCAUUCGAUCUCUCAGUUUCUUGGGAUGUGUUUGGUAACAUACAACAACGGGCAGACGGCAUGGAAAUUGUGAAAAUUUUAGUGUAUAAUGAGAGAGAAUUUGGCAUAAUGUAUUAUUGAUGGUCAAAAGUGUUACUGGGUAGGCAGAUAAUUGGGUAAACAAUAAAAAUAUCCAAGUUGAAAGGAGGCAUGUUUAAUGAUCAAAGCUAAGAUAUAAAAUGUACCUUUGGUAGUAAUGCAGCAUUUACAAAUUAAGGAUGAUUAAUUUAGUGAUGAUACAAAAUUACAACAA